This is an RNA transcript of Aplysia californica (California sea hare), 1614 nucleotides long. RefSeq lists it as uncharacterized. The transcript has 7 exons. Lineage: Eukaryota; Metazoa; Mollusca; Gastropoda; Aplysiida; Aplysiidae. The record is from RefSeq and is a predicted model, not a curated record.
UCCGUAAAGGGGAGUAAUUAGCAGGCUGCCAUUUCUUAAUUUCAUUGUAAUGUCCCUUGUUUUUGGCGGUCUAAUAUUCGCUUUUUUUCUUUUCAAUUUUGUCAUUGUUAUGUCCCUUGUUUGCACUUUUUUAUUAUUCGCUUUUUUUCUUUUCAAUUUACAUUUUCGUAAUUAAAAUUAUUUCAACCUCCAAGCGCUAUAGCUUCAUACAUUUUCCCGGAACCUCACCAUCUUGACGAAAUUACAUAUUGUAUGGAUCUAGAUCGAGAUCUAGAAGAUCUAGAUCUAGAUCUAGAUCUAUAUCUAGAGUAAGAUCUUAAACUAAUUCUUUGGUUUCGAAGUGACCAACCCAUUUUCAAAGUCAAAGUUCGAUGACGCGCUGCAAUUUAAAAUUCUUUGUUGACAGUUUGCUAUUUAUCACUAGAUCUAUCAGCUGAGUCCACAUUCUGGCUUUGGCUGUACUAAAGACUUUAGGGAAGAAUCUGAUCUGGAAUAUGCCAAACAUCAUUAGAUCUAGAUCUAGAUCUAGAUUCUAGAUUCUAGAUCUAGAUGUACACAUCAAAGGAAGAAGCUUCGACGUUCGAAGCCGGUGGGGAGAUAUUUGCUCACAAGACAAACGUGUGUGCCUCAGUGACAGAGACCUGGUCUAUCUCCUGGACACGAGGAGAGAGCAAAGGUCAACCAGAAACUGGAGGAGGCUGUUUCCAUCUGUACUUUUUACCUGUGCUGAAAGUGGCUUGAAAGAGCACCAAAACUGGUCCCUCACACCGGUGGAGCAACUGGCUGUUGCUAUGGAGAGAAGCUUUCUACGUAAAACAUCAUCUUUUUCCGAGUUGAGCAUUCCAAAAAUUCCUGCUGGCCCAGCCACUGGAGGUGAGGAUGUUUCUGAAAACUUGCACAACAGGCGUGAUCCCAACAGUCGUCUGUACCUGAGUGCCAAAGAAAUCUCGCCCUUCCUUGAGAUACAGCCAUAGUUCUCAACACUACACUCAACCAUUCACCUAAGAAACGCGAUUCUACAGACGGGCAGUGUUCCCUGCCGUAUGUGAGAGACGAUCCCUGUGGUCUGAGGCCGGUCAAGCCAGUGCCAAUAUGGAGUCAGUAUCUCUCUGACCGCUCCUCUCUACCUGUGUGUGGGAAGAAAACGGUGGUAGGGGAGAAUGUCAAAAAAAUAUAAUUGAUGUCUUCAGAACGUCAGAACCUGACAGAAAUGUUCAGCUAUCUGUCCGGAGAACAUUCACGACGCUACCAUGUUGAAGGGGACAUCAGCGCUGCUUACUCAGAGAUGGUCAUCAACAGGAUCUGUCGGUAGAUUUGACUGGACGAAAGAUGAAGCAGACAAAGAGAUCAUGUGGACAACUGAGUGGAUCUGUGUGGAUCGGAAAAAACCCUCAUGUCUAGCUCAUCCCGAAUAUUCCCCACUAUUUUUAGCUCAUCCCCAGUAUUUUUUUAUAUGAUCUCUAUUAUUUUCGAGCUCUUCUCUAAUAUAUUCCAGCUCAUUCCGAAUACUCCCUACCUUUUUUUUUAGCUCGUCCCCAGUAUUUUCUAGAUGAUCCCUAUUAUUUUUCAGCUCAUCAAUAUUUUCCUGCUCGUCCCCAGUAUUUUCUAGCUGCU